This is a non-coding RNA of Papio anubis (olive baboon), 72 nucleotides long. The record is from Rfam. NCBI's taxonomy places the organism in Eukaryota, Metazoa, Chordata, Mammalia, Primates, Cercopithecidae.
CAGGAUAUGGUGUAUUAUGUAGCAUGGGGAAUUUUGGAUUCUCAGGGGUAGGUUCAACUCCUAUAAUUCUAG